GACGAACGCUGGCGGCGUGCUUAACACAUGCAAGUCGUACGGUAAGGCCCUUUCGGGGGUCCCCGAGUGGCGAACGGGUGCGUAACACUUGAGUAACCUGCCCACAACUUUUGGAUAACGCUAGGAAACUGGUGCUAAUACUGGAUAUAUGCUCCUGCUGCAUGGUGGGGGUUGGAAAGCUCCUGGGGUUGUGGAUGGACUCGCGGCCUAUCAGCUGGUUGGUGGGUUAGUGGCGUACAAAGGCGGCGAGGGGUAGCCGGCCAGAGAGAGUGAGCGGCGACACUGGGACUGAGAGAAGGCACAGACGCCGAAGGGAGGAAGAAGUGGGGAAUAUUGAACAAUAGGCGCAAGCCUGAUGAAGCAGCGCCGCGGGUGGGAUGACGGUCUUCGGGUUGUAAAACGCCUUCAGCAGGGACGAAGCUUUUUGUGACGGUACCUGAAGAAGAAGCACCGGCUAACUACGUG
RNAcentral lists this ribosomal RNA (465 nucleotides) under uncultured bacterium. Its description in RNAcentral is "partial 16S ribosomal RNA". It matches the Rfam family "Bacterial small subunit ribosomal RNA", at positions 28 to 507 of the family's 1533-position model. The record is from RNAcentral.